CCGCGACUGCAAAGCAAACAAGUUUCUGCUGGAAAACUGCAAAUGAAAGUGUACUUAUACUUUAUUUUACGUUAUUUUAUUUUUAUUUUUAACAUGGAGAUCCAGUCACUGCUGUGAUGGGCAGCAUCUGCUGUCAUGGACGUCCUGGCUAUUUAAAGGCUCAGAAUCAUCAUCUUCAGUUGUAUGUCCAGAUCUUGUUGAGAAUUGAGGAGGUUUGGAGGAUUUGGGUUGCUCGUGAAACAGUUUUCCUGUGAUUGUAGAACAAAUUGCCGCUCAUCGCUCUGCUGGUUGGCCAUCCUCAACGGGCUACUCAGUUUUAAGGAUUGAGAUUAUUGCGAAAUAUUGCAAACAUUUGCAGAAAUAUGUGAAGUGCAUGUAAAUCAGUAUGUAAAAAUAUCUGUUUGGGGAUAUACUUGGGAAGUUUGGUUGCCAUUUCAGACCAGUUGACGCACGGAAGGGAGCGCUUGAAAGCUGGCUGAUAGAUACUUGGGUUCUGUGGGGAUGACUAAAUGUGAGAGAAUGACGGGCUCCAUCGGCGAAGAUUUGUACGUCAUCGAGAUCUGACGAAUACAUGGAUAAUUCAUGAACAGAUCGAUCAGGAGGUCCGGAAUUGGGUGCAAGUCGGGCGAUGCUGAAUGAAACAAGAAUCAACGUGGGGGUCGAUGUCUUCAUCUUGGACGCCAAGUCACACAUUCAGAAAAUGAAAAGGAUUGGGGCUGCAUUCAUAAAGUGUGGAUUUGGAAGAUCUCUACAAGAAAACACAAACCUUAUAUUAGCGGGUUUGAGAAGAAAGCAGAUGCCUUCGCGCUGCUCCAUGGGACCCGUGGGACCCGUCGCGGGUAGACCACGUUUGCGUGCUUCCCCUUUGAAGCCAUCGAUGCUUGUGCCAUUAGCUCCAGGUACUGCUAGAAAAGUUCCUCCGUGAUUGAUGCUCCGUUGGUAGCACUCACUCUGCAUCACGAACUGUCUCUCUGAAGGAAGGAGUGCCCUCAAGAUAAAUCUGGACAGCGACCCUCGCUUAACUAAAAAAAAGAUGAGAUCAUGCCAGGCUUUUGUCAAUUGUUGAAUAAGCCACCUCCACACGACGUUGUAAUCUUUCAGUUGACGUUUUCUGGUUCAUGUCUUCAUCAGAUCGCAACUCUCAACUACUGGCUUUUGGUUUUUAAGUUCACUUUAUAUCAUCUCCAGACUCCUCAUCCUUUAAUUUUGAUUUUUUUUUAAAGAUUUUAUGUGUUUGAAUUCUGCUGACGAAUAGAACGACGAACAUGUCACAAUCUUGAAGAACAUCAGACCCUACAGAAGAUGUCAAUUUGUCGCUACAGCUCCUGUUUUCUUGUCACGAGAUGGGCUACCUCAGGUUCCAGAUUAGACCUCUGAAGUGUGAUUAACUCUUGUCGAAAUCUAGGACUGGCCCAUGCUGUACUCCAAGUGCGAUUAACAGUGGUGAUAAUUUGGAAGUUCAUUGUUCAUGUA
Molecule: non-coding RNA, 1473 nt
Organism: Physcomitrium patens
Lineage: Eukaryota; Viridiplantae; Streptophyta; Bryopsida; Funariales; Funariaceae
Source: RefSeq, a predicted model, not a curated record